UUCAUUCAUGUGUGAGAUCAUUGUCUUUAAUUGUGCACAUUUUGGAAAAUAACCAUAAAGAUAUACUUGAUGAUCACGAAACAUGGUUCCAAAGUUGCACAAUAAUCUGUCAUUCCAGCGUAUAUAGAACCCCGAAUUUGAGCGUUAUAGCUUCUCGAGAUUACCGCUGAGCCACUUGGAGAACUGUUCUGUUUGAAAUAUUCUGUUUUUCGUCAUUCUGUGUGUCUUGAUUGCUAUCGCCAACGCCGGACUCCUUGGUCCAGCUGCUUUUGGUCCUGCCGGAUUCACGGGAGCUGGUCUCGUAGCAGGUCCAGCUGCAUUUGCCGCAGGUCCUGGUUUUGGCGUUGCUCCUGCCGCUGCCGCUGCUCCCGCUGCCGUGACGGGUAGCUCUGCUGUAACAGUCAGUACCGACAACCAACGUGCUCUUCCCUAUGGAGGCGCGCUAGGUGGUGUUUCCGGUUUGGGUUAUG
Limulus polyphemus (Atlantic horseshoe crab) is the source of this 470-nucleotide long non-coding RNA. RefSeq lists it as uncharacterized. NCBI's taxonomy places the organism in Eukaryota, Metazoa, Arthropoda, Merostomata, Xiphosura, Limulidae. The transcript is spliced from 3 exons. The record is from RefSeq and is a predicted model, not a curated record.